GACGAACGCUGGAGGCGUGCCUAAUACAUGCAAGUAGGACGCAGUUGCGAACGGGUGAGUAACGCGUAGGUAAAUGCCUAUUAGAGGGGGAUAACUAUUGGAAACGAUAGCUAAUACCGCAUGCUAGUAGAUGUACCUGCGUUGUAUUAGCUAGUAGGUAUGGUAAUGGCCUACCUAGGCGACGAUACAUAGCCGCCCUGAGAUGUUGAUCCGCCACACUGGGACUGAGACACGGCCCAGAUUCCUACGGGAGGCAGCAGUAGGGAAUCUUCGGCCAUGGGGGGAACCCUUACCGAGCAACGCCUCGUGAGUGAAGAAGGUUUUCGGAUCGUAAAGCUCUGUUGUUAAGGAAGCGGUACUUAACCAGAAAGGGACGGCUAACUACGUGCCAGCAGCCGCGGUAAUAC
Molecule: ribosomal RNA, 407 nt
Filed under: uncultured bacterium
Lineage: Bacteria
Description: partial 16S ribosomal RNA
Rfam family: Bacterial small subunit ribosomal RNA
Source: RNAcentral